CUUGGUCAUUUAGAGGAAGUAAAAGUCGUAACAAGGUUUCCGUAGGUGAACCUGCGGAAGGAUCAUUAAAGAGUUAGGGUCUUCUCGGCCCGGCCUCCCAACCCUAUGUUUAUUGAACCUCUGUUGCUUCGGCGGAUCCGCCUCACGGCCGCCGGAGGAUCGCUGCAAGGCGUCCUCUGGCCCGCGUCCGCCGGUAGCCGACCACUUAAAAAAACGCUGAAUGAAUCGUGUCCUGUGUCUAAGUCUAUGAUUAAAUUAAAGCAAAACUUUCAACAACGGAUCUCUUGGUUCUGGCAUCGAUGAAGAACGCAGCGAAAUGCGAUAAGUAAUGCGAAUUGCAGAAUUCCAGUGAGUCAUCGAAUCUUUGAACGCACAUUGCGCCCUUUGGUAUUCCGAAGGGCAUGCCUGUUCGAGCGUCAUUAUCACCCCUCAAGCCCCGUGCUUGGUGUUGGACGGCCUGGUCGCGUCACCGCGUCCCCUCCUAAAGACAAUGACGGCGGCCUGUGGCUCCCCCGGUACACUGAGCUUUUAACUGAGCACGUGCCGGACAAGGGUGCCCGGGACCCGGUCUGCUCCCUUUACCGGGAAACUUUUCAAUGGUUGACCUCGGAUCAGGUAGGAAUACGCGCUGAACUUAAGCAUAUCAAUAAGCGGAGGA
RNAcentral lists this ribosomal RNA (658 nucleotides) under uncultured Ascomycota. RNAcentral describes it as "eukaryotic LSU rRNA". The stretch from base 265 to 419 matches the Rfam family "5.8S ribosomal RNA". The record is from RNAcentral. Lineage: Eukaryota; Fungi; Ascomycota.